UCUUGGGAAUGGGCGAAAGCCUGACCCAGCAACGCCGCGUGGGCGAUGAAGGCCUUCGGGUUGUAAAGCCCUUUUGAGGGGGAAGAUGAUGACGGUACCCCUCGAAUAAGCCACGGCUAACUACGUGCCAGCAGCCGCGGUAAUACGUAGGUGGCAAGCGUUGUCCGGAUUUACUGGGCGUAAAGGGCGUGCAGGCGGUCUGUUAAGUCUAGGGUGAAAGCUCCCGGCUCAACUGGGAGAGGUCCUUGGAUACUGGCGGACUUGAGGGAGGCAGAGGAAAGUGGAAUUCCCGGUGUAGUGGUGGUAUGCGUAGAUAUCGGGAGGAACACCAGUGGCGAAGGCGGCUUUCUGGGCCUUACCUGACGCUGAGACGCGAAAGCGUGGGGAGCGAACC
Molecule: ribosomal RNA, 394 nt
Filed under: uncultured bacterium
Lineage: Bacteria
Description: bacterial SSU rRNA
Rfam family: Bacterial small subunit ribosomal RNA
Source: RNAcentral